This 1398-nucleotide ribosomal RNA is filed under the name Listeria monocytogenes. Its description in RNAcentral is "partial 23S ribosomal RNA". It matches the Rfam family "Bacterial large subunit ribosomal RNA", at positions 1 to 1392 of the family's 2925-position model. The record is from RNAcentral. Lineage: Bacteria; Bacillati; Bacillota; Bacilli; Caryophanales; Listeriaceae.
UUGGUUAAGUUAGAAAGGGCGCACGGUGGAUGCCUUGGCACUAGGAGCCGAAGAAGGACGGGACUAACACCGAUAUGCUUUGGGGAGCUGUACGUAAGCGUUGAUCCAGAGAUUUCCGAAUGGGGGAACCCACUAUCUUUAGUCGGAUAGUAUCCUUACGUGAAUACAUAGCGUGAGGAAGGCAGACCCAGGGAACUGAAACAUCUAAGUACCUGGAGGAAGAGAAAGAAAAAUCGAUUUCCUGAGUAGCGGCGAGCGAAACGGAAAGAGCCCAAACCAAGAAGCUUGCUUCUUGGGGUUGUAGGACACUCUAUACGGAGUUACAAAAGAAAGUUAUAAAUGAAGCGGUCUGGAAAGGCCCGCCAAAGACGGUAACAGCCCGGUAGUUGAAAUGGCUUUCCCUCCAGAGUGGAUCCUGAGUACGGCGGAACACGUGAAAUUCCGUCGGAAUCCGGGAGGACCAUCUCCCAAGGCUAAAUACUCCCUAGUGACCGAUAGUGAACCAGUACCGUGAGGGAAAGGUGAAAAGCACCCCGGAAGGGGAGUGAAACAGUUCCUGAAACCGUGUGCCUACAAGUAGUUAGAGCCCGUUAAUGGGUGAUAGCGUGCCUUUUGUAGAAUGAACCGGCGAGUUACGAUUUGUUGCAAGGUUAAGCGGAAAAAGCGGAGCCGUAGCGAAAGCGAGUCUGAAUAGGGCGCAUAAGUAACAGGUCGUAGACCCGAAACCAGGUGAUCUACCCAUGUCCAGGAUGAAGGUAAGGUAAUACUUACUGGAGGUCCGAACCCACGCACGUUGAAAAGUGCGGGGAUGAGGUGUGGGUAGCGGAGAAAUUCCAAUCGAACUUGGAGAUAGCUGGUUCUCUCCGAAAUAGCUUUAGGGCUAGCCUCGAGGUAAAGAGUCAUGGAGGUAGAGCACUGUUUGGACUAGGGGCCCUUCUCGGGUUACCGAAUUCAGAUAAACUCCGAAUGCCAUGUACUUAUACUCGGGAGUCAGACUGCGAGUGAUAAGAUCCGUAGUCGAAAGGGAAACAGCCCAGACCACCAGUUAAGGUCCCCAAAUAUAUGUUAAGUGGAAAAGGAUGUGGGGUUGCUUAGACAACCAGGAUGUUGGCUUAGAAGCAGCCACCAUUGAAAGAGUGCGUAAUAGCUCACUGGUCGAGUGACCCCGCGCCGAAAAUGUACCGGGGCUAAACAUAUUACCGAAACUGUGGAUGAACCUCUUUAGAGGUUCGUGGUAGGAGAGCGUUCUAAGGGCGGUGAAGUCAGACCGGAAGGACUGGUGGAGCGCUUAGAAGUGAGAAUGCCGGUAUGAGUAGCGAAAGAAGGGUGAGAAUCCCUUCCACCGAAUAUCUAAGGUUUCCUGAGGAAGGCUCGUCCGCUCAGGGUUAGUCGGGACCU